This 466-nucleotide ribosomal RNA is filed under the name uncultured bacterium. Its description in RNAcentral is "partial 16S ribosomal RNA". It matches the Rfam family "Bacterial small subunit ribosomal RNA", at positions 28 to 507 of the family's 1533-position model. The record is from RNAcentral.
GACGAACGCUGGCGGCGCGCCUAACACAUGCAAGUCGAACGAGCGAGAGAGAGCUUGCUUUCUCGAGCGAGUGGCGAACGGGUGAGUAACGCGUGAGGAACCUGCCUCAAAGAGGGGGACAACAGUUGGAAACGACUGCUAAUACCGCAUAAGCCCACGACCCGGCAUCGGGUAGAGGGAAAAGGAGCAAUCCGCUUUGAGAUGGCCUCGCGUCCGAUUAGCUGGUUGGUGAGGUAACGGCCCACCAAGGCGACGAUCGGUAGCCGGACUGAGAGGUUGAACCAGCACAAUUGGACUAAGACACGGCCCCGACUCCUACGGGAAGGUGGAGUGGGGAAUAUUGCACAAUGAGGGAAGCCCUGAUGCAGCGACGCCGCGUAGAAGAGGAAGGUCUUCGGAUUGUAAACUCCUGUUGUUGAGGAAGAGAAUGACGGUACUCAACAAGGAAGUGACGGCUAACUACGUG